AUACGGAGGGAGCAAGCGUUGUUCGGAUUUACUGGGCGUAAAGCGUACGUAGGUGGCGCAGCAAGUCGGGAGUGAAAUCCCACGGCUCAACCGUGGAAGUGCUUUCGAAACUGCUGUGCUAGAGGAUGAGAGGGGAAGGCGGAAUUCCAGGUGUAGCGGUGAAAUGCACAGAUAUCUGGAGGAACACCGGUGGCGAAGGCGGCCUUCUGGAUCAUACCUGACACUGAGGUACGAAAGCGUGGGGAGCGAACAGGAUUAGAAACCCCAGUAGUCC
This 274-nucleotide ribosomal RNA is filed under the name uncultured bacterium. RNAcentral's name for it is "partial 16S ribosomal RNA". It matches the Rfam family "Bacterial small subunit ribosomal RNA", at positions 523 to 796 of the family's 1533-position model. The record is from RNAcentral.